GACGAACGCUGGCGGCGUGCUUAACACAUGCAAGUCGAACGGAAAGGCCCUGCUUGCAGGGUACUCGAGUGGCGAACGGGUGAGUAACACGUGGGUGAUCUGCCCUGCACUUCGGGAUAAGCCUGGGAAACUGGGUCUAAUACCGGAUAGGAGCCAUUUUUAGUGUGAUGGUUGGAAAGUUUUUUCGGUGUAGGAUGAGCUCGCGGCCUAUCAGCUUGUUGGUGGGGUAAUGGCCUACCAAGGCGGCGACGGGUAGCCGGCCUGAGAGGGUGGACGGCCACAUUGGGACUGAGAUACGGCCCAGACUCCUACAGGAGGCAGCAGUGGGGAACAUUGCACAAUGGGCGCAAGCCUGAUGCAGCGACGCCGCGUGGGGGAUGACGGCCUUCGGGUUGUAAACUCCUUUCGCUAGGGACGAAGCUUUUUGUGACGGUACCUAGAUAAGAAGCACCGGCUAACUACGUG
Molecule: ribosomal RNA, 465 nt
Filed under: uncultured bacterium
Lineage: Bacteria
Description: partial 16S ribosomal RNA
Rfam family: Bacterial small subunit ribosomal RNA
Source: RNAcentral